AAUCUUAAUAACACAAGGUCAAUGGGUGAUCAUAAAGGCCUAUGGCCUAGGUUAGUGAUCUCCAUUGCACUUGGGAGAGGUGCUAGCUUAAGCUAUUCUCAAAUGAGGAGAGAAUACAUGACAUUUUUCGGUGGACAAAUGUGGACUAGGUUAACCUCCUCCUCU
Molecule: small nuclear RNA, 165 nt
Organism: Abrus precatorius (Indian licorice)
Lineage: Eukaryota; Viridiplantae; Streptophyta; Magnoliopsida; Fabales; Fabaceae
Product: U1 spliceosomal RNA
Exons: 1
Source: RefSeq, a predicted model, not a curated record